This 75-nucleotide transfer RNA is filed under the name Gemmatimonadota bacterium. RNAcentral describes it as "Gemmatimonadetes bacterium (sponge metagenome) tRNA-Arg". It matches the Rfam family "tRNA". From Rfam's summary of the family: Transfer RNA (tRNA) molecules are approximately 80 nucleotides in length. Their secondary structure includes four short double-helical elements and three loops (D, anti-codon, and T loops). Lineage: Bacteria; Pseudomonadati; Gemmatimonadota. The record is from RNAcentral.
GCGCCCGUAGCUCAGCCUGGAUAGAGCACCGGCCUUCUAAGCCGAUGGUCGUAGGUUCAAAUCCUACCGGGCGCA